CCACCCCCCAACCCCCGAUCGCAGCAAAUCACCGCUCGGCGGCUAUUACCNNNNNNNNNNCCCCCCCCCCGCCGGGGGUGAGCAGCCCUUGCCGGUGCCCCGGGGGAGCGUCCCGGCCCCGCAGCCCGUUCCUGCUCCUGCCGCGGCGCCGGGAAGCGAAGGGGAAGGAGCAGCGCGGGGGGUGCUGCCGGCGGGGUGUGUGUGUGUGUCUCCUUCAACGAACCCCUUCCACCCUUCCGACCCGCACCGCCGGCCCUCAGAGGGGGAGGACGCCAAGAAGCCCUCGGUUUUAGCCGGUGCCUUACCGGGGCCGGGUGCCCCGAUGGGGCGGGCAAGGCCGCGGGGCGCCCUCCCGCCCUUCACCGGGCGGGGCGGGGCUGGGCGGGGCCGUCCGCCUCACACCUGUGCGCGCGGGGCAGGCGACGCCAUCUUCCUCACGGCCUUGCCGCCCGCGCAGCCCGCGCGUUUUCCAGGAGAACGGGCUCCGAAAGGGCGACCCGAGCCGCAGGAAACCGGACCGUGGUGUCAGCGAACCCCUGAGGGGUGCGGGUACAGCUGGAAGCCCAGUAAGUUCGCUUGGAAGCAGCUGUUCCCGAGGAGCCGGCAGAGGCUUCGUGCCUGGCCGGGCAGCCGGCUCCCUCCAGCCCCGCCGGCAGCGGGCAGGGCCGGCAGGCAGAGCCGCCGCCGGGCGGAGGGCAGAGCUGCGCCUUCCUCCGGGGUCACCGGCAGCGGCUGGCUCGGCGGCAGCAUCUCGGACGGCAGCGGCAGUGCCGCCCCCGGCAGGGAGCGCCUUGGCCGGCCCCGUCCUUCCCGCCAGGGGGGAGACAGAGAUCGGGAAGCGCUGAGAGCCAUGGCUGGAGCAGGGCGAAGGGCUGCAACAGGUUCCAUUGCAAAGAAGGCCCCGAGACUGAAGGCUUUAUCCUGUCUUACUCAAGAAAAAUACCUAUUCAAGUCAGCGAGUAGUUUGAUUGAAUGA
RNAcentral lists this long non-coding RNA (976 nucleotides) under Calidris pugnax (ruff). RNAcentral describes it as "lncRNA (ENSCPUG00000013244.1)". Lineage: Eukaryota; Metazoa; Chordata; Aves; Charadriiformes; Scolopacidae. The record is from RNAcentral.